Non-coding RNA from Potamilus streckersoni, 68 nucleotides. Lineage: Eukaryota; Metazoa; Mollusca; Bivalvia; Unionida; Unionidae. The record is from the annotation of a GenBank genome assembly.
GGUGGCCUAAUGGUUAGAGCAUCUGCCUCGGAUGCGGGAAGUUGCAGGUUCGAAUCCUGGCCAAUUCA